AACGAACAGGGGGAAAAAAGAACAAGAAACAAAUCUUAAAAGCGAGCAACAUUUUGAGCAAAAACAAAAUCAGAACCAACAUGAAUUGCAAAAAAAUGUAACCAAAACGAACAGGGGUCUAAGCCAUCAAAGCAGAAGGCAUAGAAACACAUAAAAUCAGUGGCCAUCGAAUUUAGAGCAUGCCCAAGAGCUUGAUCCCCACAAGAUAGGAAGGAUACGCACGCAUCAUGAAUUGCAUACUUAAUGUCUUCUCGAUAUGUACAUAGGGAUGUGGAAAGUC
RNAcentral lists this long non-coding RNA (280 nucleotides) under Prunus persica (peach). RNAcentral describes it as "long non-coding RNA (PPER_LNC006691)". Lineage: Eukaryota; Viridiplantae; Streptophyta; Magnoliopsida; Rosales; Rosaceae. The record is from RNAcentral.